CUGCUUCCUAGUUCAGUGCUGCCCAUUGUGCAACACCUAUGUUCAACGUUUCCAUAGAGAUGCGAUGAAUCAAUGCAUCUGUAUGAGGAGAUGCUGAUUGGCGUAUAUUCUUAAAAAUGAGACCAAGGAUCACACACACAUGGGAUUGAAUUUCUAAACAGUGAUUCAUGGCAAGCUGACAACCAACUCGCAUAAAUGAAG
Non-coding RNA from Pelobates cultripes (western spadefoot toad), 201 nucleotides. NCBI's taxonomy places the organism in Eukaryota, Metazoa, Chordata, Amphibia, Anura, Pelobatidae. The record is from the annotation of a GenBank genome assembly.